This 204-nucleotide long non-coding RNA is filed under the name Podarcis muralis (Common wall lizard). RNAcentral's name for it is "lncRNA (ENSPMRG00000011305.1)". The record is from RNAcentral. Lineage: Eukaryota; Metazoa; Chordata; Lepidosauria; Squamata; Lacertidae.
GCUUCUUUUAUUAUUAGUAUUAUUCAUGCGCUGGUAGGAAAGGAAGAAUAUUGAACCGUAAUUAGGAGCUGGUAAAAUGCUACUGGAACAAACUUGAAAAGAAGCACAGGAAGCAGGCGUGUUAAAACAUUGGUAGCUCUGCUGAGAUUUAUCUUCAUUCAGGACCUGCAACUUCUCUCAGGUGUCCAGGCAGCCUCCUUUUAA